This 466-nucleotide ribosomal RNA is filed under the name Filifactor villosus. RNAcentral describes it as "bacterial SSU rRNA". It matches the Rfam family "Bacterial small subunit ribosomal RNA", at positions 9 to 456 of the family's 1533-position model. The record is from RNAcentral. Lineage: Bacteria; Bacillati; Bacillota; Clostridia; Peptostreptococcales; Filifactoraceae.
GAGUUUGAUCAUGGCUCAGGAUGAACGCUGGCGGCGUGCUUAACACAUGCAAGUCGAACGGGCGAAUUAUAUCGGAGGUCUUCGGGCCGAAGAGAUAAUAAGCUAGUGGCGGACGGGUGCGUAACGUGUGGGUAAUCUGCCUUUGUCAUAGGAAUAACUGCUUGAAAAAGUAGCUAAUACCAAAUAACAUAUCGUAUAGGCAUCUAUAAGAUAUCAAAGAGAAAUCGGACAAAGAUGAGCCCGCAUCUGAUUAGCUGGUUGGUAGGGUAAAAGCCUACCAAGGCGACGAUCAGUAGCCGGCCUGAGAGGGUGAACGGCCACAUUGGAACUGAGACACGGUCCAAACUCCUACGGGAGGCAGCAGUGGGGAAUAUUGCACAAUGGGGGGAACCCUGAUGCAGCAACGCCGCGUGAGUGAAGAAGGCUUUCGAGUCGUAAAACUCUGUUGUAAGGGAAGAUAAUGACG